Molecule: ribosomal RNA, 403 nt
Filed under: uncultured bacterium
Lineage: Bacteria
Description: bacterial SSU rRNA
Rfam family: Bacterial small subunit ribosomal RNA
Source: RNAcentral
GGGGAAUAUUGGGCAAUGGGCGAAAGCCUGACCCAGCAACGCCGCGUGAAGGAAGAAGGCCUUCGGGUUGUAAACUUCUUUUAUGAGGGACGAAGAAAGUGACGGUACCUCAUGAAUAAGCCACGGCUAACUACGUGCCAGCAGCCGCGGUAAUACGUAGGUGGCAAGCGUUAUCCGGAUUUACUGGGUGUAAAGGGCGCGUAGGCGGGGACGCAAGUCAGAUGUGAAAUCUCCGGGCUUAACCCGGAAACUGCAUUUGAAACUGUGUCUCUUGAGUGUCGGAGAGGUAGAUGGAAUUCCUAGUGUAGCGGUGAAAUGCGUAGAUAUUAGGAGGAACACCAGUGGCGAAGGCGAUCUACUGGACGAUAACUGACGCUGAGGCGCGAAAGCGUGGGGAGCAAAC